UGGUGGCCCCGUGGGGGGGUCCGGCGCUCGUCCUGCCGUGGUUUUGUUUGUUUUUUGGUU
RNAcentral lists this unclassified non-coding RNA (60 nucleotides) under synthetic construct. The record is from RNAcentral.